AACGAACGCUGGCGGCAGGCUUAACACAUGCAAGUCGAACGCCCCGCAAGGGGAGUGGCGCACGGGUGAGUAACGCGUGGAUAUCUGCCUUUUGGUUCGGAAUAACCCCGGGAAACUGGGGCUAAUACCGGAUGGUUCCUACGGGAUAAAGAUUUAUCGCCAAAAGAUGAGUCCGCGUACGAUUAGCUAGUUGGUGAGGUAAUGGCUCACCAAGGCGACGAUCGUUAGCUGGUCUGAGAGGACGAUCAGCCACACUGUGACUGAGACACGGCCCAGACUCCUACGGGAGGGAGCAGUGGGGGAUAGUGGACAAUGGGGGCAGCCCUGAUCCUGCCAUGCCGGGGGAGUGAUGAAGGCCUUGGGGUUGUAAAGCUCUUUUGGCGGGGGCGAUGAUGACGGUACCCGCAGAAUAAGCCCCGGCUAACUUCGUG
Molecule: ribosomal RNA, 431 nt
Filed under: uncultured bacterium
Lineage: Bacteria
Description: partial 16S ribosomal RNA
Rfam family: Bacterial small subunit ribosomal RNA
Source: RNAcentral